This is a long non-coding RNA of Bufo gargarizans (Asiatic toad), 298 nucleotides long. RefSeq lists it as uncharacterized. Lineage: Eukaryota; Metazoa; Chordata; Amphibia; Anura; Bufonidae. The transcript has 2 exons. The record is from RefSeq and is a predicted model, not a curated record.
CCGAGUUGCCCACCCUCCCGCCCUUGAAUGGGUACUUCAGCGGGGAGUUUUCUUCUUUGGUGUCUGUUUUUACAGUUAUGUAACAGGAGGGAGAAUGUUCGCAUACGAUAGAAGGGCGGUUUGGUUUGGGAUACGAAGUCACAGCUGGCGGUAAUUGAUACAGCGGAAUGUUGGAGAUGGCUGAUGGCGUACUUGCCCGCCGGGAGUCCGGCGGUUGGCAUACCGCUCCAAGAUGUUCUUUGGUUUUGCUGUAUAAAAUAAAUAAGCUGUGGCCGAUCACCACCCAGCUAAAAGGUUA